CGUGGUGCUGGGCGACCGGCGCACCCGGCUGCUCUACCUGCUGCUGGUCGUCCUGGCGGCCGCCGCGGUGGUCGCGGUCGCCGCCGUCACGUC
Molecule: transfer RNA, 93 nt
Filed under: Nocardioides sp. T2.26MG-1
Lineage: Bacteria; Bacillati; Actinomycetota; Actinomycetes; Propionibacteriales; Nocardioidaceae
Description: tRNA-Val(tac)
Source: RNAcentral